GGCUCCACUUAAGCGAGAGUCCACUGGAGGAUGACAUGCUGACAUGGUCACAGCCAGUAGAAUUCUAGAGGGAAAGCAUUUGGAGCCUAUGCCAUUUGAAAAACAAUAGUUCCAUUUGAGAAACAAAAGAAACACAGUUUUUAGCAUUUUGGAAGAAUGAAAAUGUUUGAAGUGGUUCCAAGGGCUCCUGGGCCCAGGGGAGUCUUACAUGAAGACACAUCUCUUAAUAUUGAGCCCUCCUGCAACUCUGGGACAUAGCUCUCCAGUCUGGGAUCAGUUUCUGCUCUGUCUGGCAACAGCCUACCAAGUCUCAUCCACCAGUUUUUCCUGAGGACAAGGAGCCUCUUAAAUCUGAACUAUGGUGAAGUGUUUUAGUUUGAGAUCCCGGGAAAUAGACUCUGAGACAAAGAACUGUGAGUAGGAGGUUUCAUGGAGAGUGCUCUCAGGAUCCACACCUGCGAAAUAACUAUAAUAAUAAUAAUAAUAAUAAUAAUAAUAAUAAUAAUAGUGAAGGCCUGGACUGGGUAGAGGAAGAAACUGAUCCAAAACAAACGUGCAAUGAGGCCUCAGCCAAUUCCUGGGGGGCAGAUCUGGCUGUGUACAGCAGUUCCUGAAUAAUGUUGGUUCAUUCGAUGUUCUUUCCUUAUAACGUUGAUGAGAAAACAAUUGAUUUGCACCUGGGGCCACCAUCUGUGUGUAUUUGCACAACCUCCCCAUAGCUGCAUGGGUUUUCUCUGAGUACUCUAGUUUGCUCUCUCAUUCCAAAGUCAUGCACAUUAGGUUAAUUGGCAUGUCUACAUGGACUCAGUGUGAGUGAAUGUGAGCAUGGGUGUGAGUGUGCUCUGCCAUGAGAGAUUGUCCUGUUCAGGGCUGGUUCCCACCUCACUCCGUGAGCUGCUGGGAUGGGCUCUGGCCACCCAUGACCAUGAACUGGAAAUAAGCAGGUAUGGACAAGGUUCUGACCCUUAUUAUUGGAACUCAAAUCCAGAUGGAGUUUGUUGGGACUUCACAUCAUUGGAAGGUGAAUAGAAAAGUAUGUCUUAAGAAUUUCACCAUGUUUUGGAAGAAUUGCAGCAAGAAAAAAAGAACUCCUUUGUUUCCACCCCAUUUCUUUUAAGGAAAACCUGGAAUAUCUGAGGGUGCAAGCUGAGAAAAGUCUGCUUAUCUGUUCCCUACUCUGGCAAUCAAAAAGGAUCCAAGUCUACUGUUCUCUUCUCCUGGCACUCUUAACUUGCACACAUUGCAACCUUUUAUGGCAAAGUAAUGGUCAAGCUAUCCUAACAAGGACGAGCCCUUAUUAAAUAAUUCACUGUGGUUGGGAAAUGGUGAGGAAGCCAUCUUCUUUUGUCUUCUUUUCUCUGAAAAUAAAAUUUUGUCUAAUUUUGUAUUAAGGACAUUUGGGCUUCACUUUAUUACAUUCUCUACUUUCUUUAAUAGCUCGAAGCUCAUGACAGUACAUGUCUGGUCUUGCAAAACAAGAUGAAUUUGUUAAAUUAAACUUUUAAAAAAAAUCAGUGUAACUGGCCAUCUUUCAUUAUAAAAUAUUUUUUCUCUCAAUUCAAGCCAAUUGUGUGGGGUAUGUGUGUUGUGUGUGUGUGUGUGUGUGUGUGUGUGUCUGCCUUUAUGUGCUGCCUGAAAGCCAUAUGUCCUUCCUCAGGAUAGAAUUUUUAAUUCUAGGUAAUAAAUCUCAAACUUUUGAGAACUAAACUGGAAAUGCCACCUCUGACUUAUCAAUUGUUUCUGGCCUGUGCUUCUACAAAACACACAGCACAUAUUUUCUAACCAUAAUUGAAACCAUUUUAAAAUAGUGUUUUUGGAGGAGUGAAUCUAUGUGAAACUUCUGUAAGCUAUUUGUAGGACAGCCGUGAAAAUCCUCCAUGUUCUAUGCAUUGGAUUUUUUUUCCUCCUUACUCACAAGGAUCAUCUUCAGGUUAAUAUCACAGAAAUUGGGACAACUUAGUGUUCGAGAAAUAGAGAAAUAGCUCAAGGAGCUAUUAGAUACCAACCCAUACCAUGUUGUUUUCUGAGGGUGGGAGAAACUAGAAGAAAGUUUGACAUUACUCUCAUUCCAUGAGACAACCUCAAGAACACAAACCCAAACUAUCCAGGUAGGACUUUUAGUUUAGGGAGACCACCAAAAGAACUGGAGCCCAUUUCCUCUGGUGAUUCAACAAGAUUAACAGCCCCUCCUGAAGUUUUUGUCCAGUGGCCUAGAAUCUAAAUAUGUGCUCAUACCCAGUUCUUUGUCUUCAAUUCCCGAGUCUUCUGUGUGACUCAUUCUGAAAGUCCAGGUGUGGAAGGGAGAGGCGCAUGGAGGAAAAAGCCAGGCUCAGAAUUUAUAUUUGUUUAAUGCCACAUGUUCCCAAACUAUUUCUGGGCUGUUUCAAAAACUGGUCUGCACAGAUAUUAAUCUCUGUAACCAUAUGUCUGAAACAUUUCAUCACUGGGAAACAGCUGAAAGUAGUUGGUGAGGCUCUGUGGGAUCCAUGUUAGGUAUUGUAAGUAUGGUCAGAAGAAGAGCCUGUAUCUGGAGCUUAUGGGAAAAUAAUGAGAAAUGCCUGUACCUCCUCUUUCUUAUUUUUGAGGUUGGCUGCAUGACUACAGUUGUUAGGCCCAGGUAAGUUUAUUCCCAAAGAGUAAGGGUUGGGAUGGAUGGUAUGUGUGG
Molecule: long non-coding RNA, 2665 nt
Filed under: Homo sapiens (human)
Lineage: Eukaryota; Metazoa; Chordata; Mammalia; Primates; Hominidae
Description: HSALNT0265408
Source: RNAcentral